AUACUGCUCAGCAGGGGAGAUACCAUGAUCACGAAGGUGUUUGUUCCAGGACAAGGCUUAUCCACUGCACUCCAGAUGUGCUGACUCCUGCAAUUUCCCAAAAUGUGGGAAACUCUACUACAUGAUAUGUGGUAAUGGGGGACUGCAUAUGCGCUCUCCCCUG
Small nuclear RNA from Artibeus jamaicensis (Jamaican fruit-eating bat), 163 nucleotides. RefSeq annotates it as U1 spliceosomal RNA. The transcript has a single exon. The record is from RefSeq and is a predicted model, not a curated record. Lineage: Eukaryota; Metazoa; Chordata; Mammalia; Chiroptera; Phyllostomidae.